This 497-nucleotide ribosomal RNA is filed under the name uncultured bacterium. Its description in RNAcentral is "partial 16S ribosomal RNA". It matches the Rfam family "Bacterial small subunit ribosomal RNA", at positions 28 to 507 of the family's 1533-position model. The record is from RNAcentral.
GACGAACGCUGGCGGCGUGCCUAAUACAUGCAAGUUGAGCGAUGAAGAUUGGUGCUUGCACCAAUUUGAAGAGCAGCGAACGGGUGAGUAACGCGUGGGGAAUCUGCCUUUGAGCGGGGGACAACAUUUGGAAACGAAUGCUAAUACCGCAUAAUAACUUUAAACAUAAGUUUUAAGUUUGAAAGAUGCAAUUGCAUCACUCAAAGAUGAUCCCGCGUUGUAUUAGCUAGUUGGUGAGAUAAAGGCUCACCAAGGCGAUGAUACAUAGCCGACCUGAGAGGGUGAUCGGCCACAUUGGGACUGAGACACGGCCCAAACUCCUACGGGAGGCAGCAGUAGGGAAUCUUCGGCAAUGGACGAAAGUCUGACCGAGCAACGCCGCGUGAGUGAAGAAGGUUUUCGGAUCGUAAAACUCUGUUGGUAGAGAAGAACGUUGGUGAGAGUGGAAAGCUCAUCAAGUGACGGUAACUACCCAGAAAGGGACGGCUAACUACGUG